This 1392-nucleotide ribosomal RNA is filed under the name Enterococcus faecalis. RNAcentral describes it as "bacterial SSU rRNA". It matches the Rfam family "Bacterial small subunit ribosomal RNA". The record is from RNAcentral. Lineage: Bacteria; Bacillati; Bacillota; Bacilli; Lactobacillales; Enterococcaceae.
UAUUAUGAGAGUUUGAUCCUGGCUCAGGACGAACGCUGGCGGCGUGCCUAAUACAUGCAAGUCGAACGCUUCUUUCCUCCCGAGUGCUUGCACUCAAUUGGAAAGAGGAGUGGCGGACGGGUGAGUAACACGUGGGUAACCUACCCAUCAGAGGGGGAUAACACUUGGAAACAGGUGCUAAUACCGCAUAACAGUUUAUGCCGCAUGGCAUAAGAGUGAAAGGCGCUUUCGGGUGUCGCUGAUGGAUGGACCCGCGGUGCAUUAGCUAGUUGGUGAGGUAACGGCUCACCAAGGCCACGAUGCAUAGCCGACCUGAGAGGGUGAUCGGCCACACUGGGACUGAGACACGGCCCAGACUCCUACGGGAGGCAGCAGUAGGGAAUCUUCGGCAAUGGACGAAAGUCUGACCGAGCAACGCCGCGUGAGUGAAGAAGGUUUUCGGAUCGUAAAACUCUGUUGUUAGAGAAGAACAAGGACGUUAGUAACUGAACGUCCCCUGACGGUAUCUAACCAGAAAGCCACGGCUAACUACGUGCCAGCAGCCGCGGUAAUACGUAGGUGGCAAGCGUUGUCCGGAUUUAUUGGGCGUAAAGCGAGCGCAGGCGGUUUCUUAAGUCUGAUGUGAAAGCCCCCGGCUCAACCGGGGAGGGUCAUUGGAAACUGGGAGACUUGAGUGCAGAAGAGGAGAGUGGAAUUCCAUGUGUAGCGGUGAAAUGCGUAGAUAUAUGGAGGAACACCAGUGGCGAAGGCGGCUCUCUGGUCUGUAACUGACGCUGAGGCUCGAAAGCGUGGGGAGCAAACAGGAUUAGAUACCCUGGUAGUCCACGCCGUAAACGAUGAGUGCUAAGUGUUGGAGGGUUUCCGCCCUUCAGUGCUGCAGCAAACGCAUUAAGCACUCCGCCUGGGGAGUACGACCGCAAGGUUGAAACUCAAAGGAAUUGACGGGGGCCCGCACAAGCGGUGGAGCAUGUGGUUUAAUUCUUUCCCUUCGGGGACAAAGUGACAGGUGGUGCAUGGUUGUCGUCAGCUCGUGUCGUGAGAUGUUGGGUUAAGUCCCGCAACGAGCGCAACCCUUAUUGUUAGUUGCCAUCAUUUAGUUGGGCACUCUAGCGAGACUGCCGGUGACAAACCGGAGGAAGGUGGGGAUGACGUCAAAUCAUCAUGCCCCUUAUGACCUGGGCUACACACGUGCUACAAUGGGAAGUACAACGAGUCGCUAGACCGCGAGGUCAUGCAAAUCUCUUAAAGCUUCUCUCAGUUCGGAUUGCAGGCUGCAACUCGCCUGCAUGAAGCCGGAAUCGCUAGUAAUCGCGGAUCAGCACGCCGCGGUGAAUACGUUCCCGGGCCUUGUACACACCGCCCGUCACACCACGAGAGUUUGUAACACCCGAA